AUGAUAAAAUGUCUUAAGUAAAGGAUUUAUGGUAUAAAGAAUUAAAUUCUUUAUGUUAUUAAUUACUAGUAUAUGUGCUAUUUGUUUUGCUAUAAAUGGAAAUGUAUGUUGAAUUUUAAUGCAUUUAUGAUUGUAAAUGAUUUUAUGAAAUUUGUUUUUAAGUAAGUUGCCAUCGCAACUUUGGUAAGUAUGUGAAUUAUGAGCACCACUGAGUUUUAUACUCAGCGCGUCGAUUUUUAUCACGCGUAGGUUGAAGAUUGCGGUCGCUACUUGAAGAUUUGAAAAGUAAUAUCAAAGCAGAAGUGACUAAUUUGGUAGUAGUCGAUUGAGAUUUAUAUAAUGAAGAAUGAUGGCAUGUAUAAUUGUUACAUUUUCAGAUAUUAUGUUAUUUGAAAUAUAAUUGAAGUAUGUAAUUAUAAAGUAUUUUGAUGUAUAUAUUUGGAGAGAAGAAUAAGAUUUAUUAAAUGAUUGAAUAUGAAAUAUUUGAAGUCAGUUGAUAUGAUUAGUUCAUUAAGACUUGAUAGAUAUAAUGAAUGC
RNAcentral lists this long non-coding RNA (537 nucleotides) under Jatropha curcas. RNAcentral describes it as "long non-coding RNA (JCUR_LNC000735)". The record is from RNAcentral. Lineage: Eukaryota; Viridiplantae; Streptophyta; Magnoliopsida; Malpighiales; Euphorbiaceae.